CUCACUCAUGUGAGCAGAAAGAGUAGCAUGAUAUUUUCUUCAAGGUCUUUACCAACCUUUCAUCGUUCCCUUCUUUGCAAUAACGCUGUUUUGCAAAACCGUGAUAGUGCUGAGCCGAUGAGCCUCUAAUGAAAUUAUAGACUCAUCGGCUCAGGACCAUUGCGGUUGUGCAAAACGGUGUUAUUGCUGAGAAGGGAACGCAUGAGAGGUUGGUAAAGACCUCAAUGGAAUCUUAUGGUACUCUUUUUGCUCACAUGAGUGAGU
Molecule: microRNA precursor, 264 nt
Organism: Arabidopsis thaliana (thale cress)
Lineage: Eukaryota; Viridiplantae; Streptophyta; Magnoliopsida; Brassicales; Brassicaceae
Rfam family: MIR839 microRNA precursor family
Source: Rfam